AUUCAUAUUAGGUUGGUGCAAAAGUAAUUGAGCUUUUUACCGUUACUUUCAAUGGCAAAAACUGCAAUGACUUUUGCACCAACCUAA
Molecule: microRNA precursor, 87 nt
Filed under: Chlorocebus sabaeus (green monkey)
Lineage: Eukaryota; Metazoa; Chordata; Mammalia; Primates; Cercopithecidae
Description: miRNA (ENSCSAG00000022853.1)
Source: RNAcentral